GAUGACGAAACAUCACUGGAGGGAUUCAACACAAUCCAUUUUUUGGACUCAUGUUGCUCCUGAAAAUACUGAACAGCUUAAAGAGACAAAAAAUGAAAUUGAGAAUAAAGUGAAGAAGAUCUUGAAGCUUAUCAAAGAUGGAGGAGAAGAAAACAAUUCCAUAGGGAACUCGAACAGAGAGUCAGAACUUUUUGACCUCGUCAAGGAUUUCCACAAACAGUGCCAAUCACUCUAUGAACGUUAUGAUCAUCUUACUGCAGAGUUAAAGGAGAAAUUUCAUGACCAAGAAG
Telopea speciosissima is the source of this 290-nucleotide long non-coding RNA. RefSeq lists it as uncharacterized. Lineage: Eukaryota; Viridiplantae; Streptophyta; Magnoliopsida; Proteales; Proteaceae. The record is from RefSeq and is a predicted model, not a curated record. The transcript is spliced from 2 exons.